Molecule: ribosomal RNA, 496 nt
Filed under: uncultured bacterium
Lineage: Bacteria
Description: bacterial SSU rRNA
Rfam family: Bacterial small subunit ribosomal RNA
Source: RNAcentral
GAUGAACGCUGGCGGCGUGCCUAAUACAUGCAAGUCGAACGCAUUGUGGUUGAAAUGAUAUGAAGAACUUGUUCAGAUUUGAUUUUCAACAUUGCAAUGAGUGGCGAACGGGUGAGUAACACGUGGGAAACCUACCUCUUAGCAGGGGAUAACAUUUGGAAACAAAUGCUAAUACCGUAUAAUAAUUAAAACCGCAUGGUUUUAGUUUAAAAGAUGGUCUUGCUAUCACUAAGAGAUGGUCCCGCGGUGUAUUAGUUAGUUGGUGAGGUAAUGGCUCACCAAGACAAUGAUACAUAGCCGAGUUGAGAGACUGACCGGCCACAAUGGGACUGAGACACGGCCCAUACUCCUACGGGAGGCAGCAGUAGGGAAUCUUCCACAAUGGACGAAAGUCUGAUGGAGCAACGCCGCGUGUGUGAUGAAGGUUUCGGCUCGUAAAACACUGUUGUAAGAGAAGAAUGACAUUGAGAGUAACUGUUCAAUGUGUGACGGUAUC